CCAGGGGGUCCGCCCCAAAUCCCGGCGGGGUUCCCCUGAGACCAGGGAGCCGCAGCCCCCGCAGAACGUCGGGGUGCUGGGGGUGCGCUGCCUGCGCCCACUGUGGGUUUUUUUUUUGGGAUCAAUAAAGCCUGUGGGGUCCCUGGGUGUGAGCUGGUGUUUUUUUGGCGUGCUGCUGGGGUGUGGGUUGGGGUGGAGAGCUUUUUGGGGUGUUUUGGGGUGGAUGGAAGGCCGUUUCAGGGUGAUCUUUUUUGAGGGGAAAAGGUGGUUUUGGGGGUAUUUUAAGGUGGAUGAGAGGCCUUUGGGGUGCUGGGGGGUGCUUUUUGGGGUAUGGGGCUUUUGGGGAUACUUUAGGGUGGAUAAAGGGCUUUUUUGGCAUGCUGUGUGCAGGGUACUUUUUGGGGUGGGGGGCUUUUUGGGGCAGUUUAUGGUGGGUGGGGGCCUUUUUGGGGUAUUACGUGCAGGGCUACUUCAAGGCCAAGAAGCAGGUGUAGCCCACCCCAAAACCCGGGGGGGACACCCCAAAGCCCAGGGGGGACACCCCAAAUCCUGGGGGGGUUCCCCUGAGACCAGGGAGCCACGGCCCCGCAGCUCCCGCAGAACGCCAGGGGGCUGGGGGCACGCUGCCUGCACCCACUGCGGGGUUUUUGGGUUUUUUUUUGGGAUCAAUAAAGGCUGUGGGGUCCCUGGGCAUGAGCUGGUGGUUAUUGGGGUGUUGGAGGUAGGGUGGAUUGAGUGGGGGGGCUUUUGGGGUUUCUUUAGGGUGGAUGAAGGGCCUUUUUGGGGUGCUUUUUGGGGGAGGGGGUGUUUUUUGGGGUGUUUUACUGUGGAUGAGGGGCCUUUAGGGUCCUUUGUGCAGGGUGCUUUUUGGGGUUGGGAGGCUUUUUGGGGUAGUUUCUGGUGGAUGGGGCCUUUUUGGGGUGCUCUGUGCAGGGCUACAUCUUUGAGGCCAAAAAGCUAGUGCAGCACCCCCGGGGGGCCACCCCAAACCCUGGGGGGGUUCCUCCCCAAAUCUGGGGGGCCGCAGCCCCACAGAACACCAGGGCACUGGAGGGGGUUUGGGGCACGCUGCCUGCACCCACUGUGGGGUUUUGAGGGGGACAUUUUGGG
Molecule: long non-coding RNA, 1110 nt
Filed under: Anas platyrhynchos platyrhynchos (common mallard)
Lineage: Eukaryota; Metazoa; Chordata; Aves; Anseriformes; Anatidae
Description: lncRNA (ENSAPLG00000026900.1)
Source: RNAcentral